This 484-nucleotide ribosomal RNA is filed under the name uncultured bacterium. Its description in RNAcentral is "partial 16S ribosomal RNA". It matches the Rfam family "Bacterial small subunit ribosomal RNA", at positions 28 to 507 of the family's 1533-position model. The record is from RNAcentral.
AUUGAACGCUGGCGGCAUGCUUUACACAUGCAAGUCGAACGGUAGCACGGGGGCAUCCCUGGUGUCGAGUGGCGCACGGGUGAGUAAUACACCCGAACGUGCCCUGUCGGGGCGGAUUACGUAUCGACAGGUACGCUAAUACCGCAUACGAGCUGAGGAUGAAAGCGGGGGCCCCUCCGACCACGCGCGAUCGUGGCCUCCGAUGUCAGGUUUGUUAGGUGGUGGUGGAAAGGCCUACCGAGCCGACGAGCUGCAGCUGGCCUGCGAGGACGACCAGCCACACUAGGACUGAGACACGGCCCCGGCUCCUACGGGAGGCAGCAGUGGGGAAUUUUGGACAAUGGGCGCAAGCCUGAUCCAGCCAUGCCGCGUGCAGGACGCAGGCCUUCGGGUUGUAAACUGCUUUUGUACGGAACGAAAAGGCUCUGGCUAAUACCGGGGGGUCAUGACGGUACCGUAAGAAUAAGCACCGGCUAACUACGUG